CUUUCUUUUUUUUCUAUCUCUUUCUCCCCCCAUCCCCAACCCCACCCUUUCUUAGCUAAAACUGUGACCACGGGAUGGAGAGUGGUGGCUUAUUCAUUCUUCUCUUUAAUUCAGAAUUUCCGAUUCGGUGCCACUGUGUUUGAUGCAGCCCUCAGUAGCCUUCCAGUUGCUGCUGUCUCCAGACCCCUGGCUGCAGAUCAGCAGCUUCACUCUCCCCCUUGAUCAUGCCCUCUGGAGUCUAUCCAAGGCCUUCCCCAGUCUUUCUCAUGACCAUACUGACCUCACCCCAUUGCAGUCACAUAGCAUGACUGGCUCUGGCCUCUGCUUUAUUGUAGUUGGAAAAUUUAGAGAUUGCCACAAAUUUCUGAUAUCUUGCAGAAUGAUUUCCAGUCAGUGGUUUCCAACUUUUUUCAUGCUCUCUAUGUCCUCUGUUAGCUCAGAAAGGACAAAAAAAAAACCAAAACAAAAUCUUUCAAGUAUGUCUCUUUUUGCCUCCAUGGUCAACACUAAUGGUUUCCAGCCAGUGCAGGUUGGAGGGCACAAUGUGAGUAGAACCAGCAACUUGGUUCUACUCUGUGCAACUUCAAGUAUGCACUUGAGAAUUUAUCAUUGUAGAUCCUCUUUAAGCUUUGCUGCAGCCUGUCAACCAGAGUGCCCAUGUUACCAUGGUAACGGGUAGGAUACUAGCCCUAAACUUAUUCAUCACAUUACCAAAAAUCUAUCAAACUGCAUGAUAUUUAAGCAUUUGAGUUUUGACUGGGUGUUGUGUCGCGUGCUUGUAUUUCCAGUCACUUAGGAGGCUGAGGCAGGAGGAUCACAAAUUUAAGGCCAGCCUCAGCAAUUUAGUGAGGCCCUAAGAAGCUUUAGUGAGCUCAAAAUAAAAAUAAAAAGGACUGGGAAUCUAACUCCAUGGUAGAACACUCCUGGAUUCAAUCCCCAAUACCACAAAGAAAAAUAAAAAGAACAUAAUCUUUGGAUACAGACCUUGAUUUAAAAGCGUGUUACCUAGGGAAGGUUGCUUAAACUUUUUAACCAUAUGGUUUUUACUCUGUAAAAUGCAGAUAAGAAUGAAUAACUUCCUUCUAGAAUUAUUGGGAGGAUGAAAUGAAAAUAAUAAAUGUGAAAUGCUCAACAGAGUAUCUGACACAUAUUAAAUGGGGCCAAUAAAUGAUACUUAACAUAAAUAAGUGCAUAAGGGAAAUAAUUCUCUUUGUUUUGUUUUAGCAGCCAAGC
RNAcentral lists this long non-coding RNA (1233 nucleotides) under Marmota monax (woodchuck). Lineage: Eukaryota; Metazoa; Chordata; Mammalia; Rodentia; Sciuridae. The record is from RNAcentral.